GUUCAUGACAACCUAAAAAUUUUGAUUGGAAAAUGCAUAUAAGAUGAGGGGGUGGGAAAAUGGAAAUUAGUGGCUUUUUUGCAGUUCUGUCUGUUAGUUUUGCUCUGGCUGGGUCUCUUUUGUUUAAACAAUUAUAAUCAGCUGAAAGUGGUCUACAAAAAAACCAGGAAGGAAACGUAUUAUAGCCUUGUUGUGGCUAUGAAAGGCAAAAGAAAGAUACCUAUAAAAAGUGUAUUGACUAGUUGGAAGAAACUCCACAUUGUCGAUGCAUAAUAAGAUAUUACUUUAUAAACAAAUAUCAAGACCUAGGAAUGGAACCUGGAUAAUAUAGUCAUCAAGAAGAUAGCAGGAGGUCAUGAGCAACAACAACUUCAUAAGUAUGAGAAUAUUGAGGAAAUCCAGCUCCUCGAUAUCUACUACUGGACAAACUAGAAGAUUGAAGAGGACAAAGCCUUUUGAACUAGUUUGAGUGAUAGGUGAUAGUGAAAAGCAGAGCGUAGUGCUUGUGUGCCUGUGUAUGUUAGAAUAGUGCACGAUCUUGUUAGAUUAGAUAAGAGACGCUAUAGGGUAAGCUCUUCAUUUUAAGGAACAGUAGUAAUUUAGGUUAAAUUAAAAUUGCUCAUUGGUCAGUUAUGACCAGAUUGUAAUUCUCUGAUGUUUGGCAAAAAGGGCUGAAGUCAGAAUUGCACAUCAAUAAUGUUUUGAUGAUUUCUGGACCAUAAAAAAAGUGUUGCAGACUUAAACUGUAUGUACCAAUAAAAAGAGCCGAUUUUUCUGGUCCAGAAAUCAUCAAAACAUUAUCGAUGUGCAAUUCUGACUUAAGCCCUUUUUCCCAAACAUCAGAGAAUUGCAAUGUACAAUUCAAUACAAAUGAAUCAUCAUCGUAGUGAUGAUUAUGGAAAAAAAUAUAUAUAUAUAUAGAAAUAUAUAUAUUUUGUGCAAUAAAAAUGUUUAUAUUUA
This 960-nucleotide long non-coding RNA is filed under the name Diabrotica virgifera virgifera (western corn rootworm). RNAcentral describes it as "uncharacterized LOC126882120". The record is from RNAcentral. Lineage: Eukaryota; Metazoa; Arthropoda; Insecta; Coleoptera; Chrysomelidae.